UUUUAUUUGAGAGUUUGAUCCUGGCUCAGGAUGAACGCUGGCGGCGUGCCUAACACAUGCAAGUCGAGCGAUGA
This 74-nucleotide ribosomal RNA is filed under the name Tissierellia bacterium. RNAcentral describes it as "partial 16S ribosomal RNA". It matches the Rfam family "Bacterial small subunit ribosomal RNA", at positions 1 to 72 of the family's 1533-position model. The record is from RNAcentral. Lineage: Bacteria; Bacillati; Bacillota; Tissierellia.